CCUACGGGUGGCAGCAGUGAGGAAUAUUGGUCAAUGGACGCAAGUCUGAACCAGCCAUGCCGCGUGCAGGAAGACGGCUCUAUGAGUUGUAAACUGCUUUUGUACGAGGGUAAACGCAGAUACGCGUAUCUGUCUGAAAGUAUCGUACGAAUAAGGAUCGGCUAACUCCGUGCCAGCAGCCGCGGUAAUACGGAGGAUUCAAGCGUUAUCCGGAUUUAUUGGGUUUAAAGGGUGCGUAGGCGGUCGGAUAUGUUAGAGGUGAAAUCCCGAGGCUCAACUUCGGAAUUGCCUCUGAAACUGUUGGGCUAGAGAGUAGUUGAGGUAGGCGGAAUGUAUGGUGUAGCGGUGAAAUGCUUAGAGAUCGUACAGAACACCGAGUGCGAAGGCAGCUUACCAAGCUAAUUCUGACGUUGAGGCACGAAAGCGUGGGGAGCGAACAGGAUUAGAUACCCCAGUAGUC
This 460-nucleotide ribosomal RNA is filed under the name uncultured bacterium. RNAcentral describes it as "partial 16S ribosomal RNA". It matches the Rfam family "Bacterial small subunit ribosomal RNA", at positions 338 to 795 of the family's 1533-position model. The record is from RNAcentral.